Long non-coding RNA from Meriones unguiculatus (Mongolian gerbil), 322 nucleotides. RefSeq lists it as uncharacterized. The transcript is spliced from 3 exons. The record is from RefSeq and is a predicted model, not a curated record. Lineage: Eukaryota; Metazoa; Chordata; Mammalia; Rodentia; Muridae.
AGGCUCCCGACUCCCACGUUGGAGAGAUGGGCUCCACAAGGGAUGGGAGACCCAAGCUUUGGCACUUGAAGCGAGGACCCGGUGGCUUCCUGCAUCAGAUAACACAGUGAUGCCAGUUACACAGCGCUGGGAACCAGGCACGGCCCUCACCCCGCCCUCCAGGCAGCUUCUGUCCUCACAGUCAUCUCACAGAGAGGGGCGCCGCAGCAUCAGGGAAGAUGCGUCACAGAAAAGAGGCCGGGCGGCUGCAUGGAUCCCCUUGACAUACCAGAACGCAAGCCCCCAGCAUGGGCCCUCAACCGGGCCUGUCCAGGAGCAGAUG